UUAUGGGAGGAGUUUACACAGAAU
This 24-nucleotide small RNA is filed under the name Brassica napus (rape). RNAcentral's name for it is "PsRNA_22". Lineage: Eukaryota; Viridiplantae; Streptophyta; Magnoliopsida; Brassicales; Brassicaceae. The record is from RNAcentral.